GAGUAUUUUAAAGCUUGCCUCACUGACUAUAUUAUAAUAGACUAAAUUCAACCAGUUGCAAAAUAAUGAGCUACAGAAUUGCUAGAUCUACUUUGGCAUUGACAAUAAUCAUAAUCACAUUUGCUCCAUCUUGUGAUGCCCAAGUUACAGAUGGGAUUUUAUCAAGUGCUGGCAAAAAAUUCGUGGUCGGUUUCCCAAGAAAUGCUGUUCAACAUCCAGGAAUCAAUCCAGAGUUGUUAUUGUUUAUCACAAACCCAGAGUCAAGUGCUGUUAAUUUCACAGUUAAUAUCAGUGGGAAUGUUUCUAACUCUUCAACUAGGGCAAACGUUCCAUCCAGUUUUAAGGUUUCUUUUGUUAUUGAAAGGAACAAGGGGAUCCUUGUUGAAGCCAACAGAGACAUCAAUUUGUAUGGGAUGUCUUUUCAUUUUCGUCGAGGUAGUCACUCACUUCGAGGUUGAAGUAGAUGCUCGUGUGUUGUGAGGGUCAAUGUCUAGUAGCUAGUAGAGGCUGUAUAAUUGUAUGAAGGGAGGAGUGGAAAUAAUGUAACAGGUGUAUUGUGUACAAUGGCAUAUGCACGUUAGCAUUGCAAAUAUUGUGUACAAGUUACAGUAGCAAAACUAUCUAUUAAAGUCGUAUUAACAGUUGCACACACAGGUCAGUGCUUACAAACCAUAGACCACGGUGUACUCAACCACACUAUUCAAUGGAACAGUGAUGAUGAAAAGUUUGGCAAACGUUCCGUGUUUACUACAGCAGUUCAACACUUUUAUUUGUACUAUCAUCUACUCUUGAUAGUCUGUUAAUUAACCAGUUGCUAGAAAAAUGAGCUACAGAAUUGCUAGAUCUACUUUGGCAUUGACAAUAAUCCUAAUCACAUUUGCUUCAUCUUGUGAUGCUCAAAUUACAGAUGAGACCUUAUCAAGUGCUGGGAAGAAAUUCGUGGUCGGGUUCCCAAGAAAUAGUGGUCAAAGAGCAGACGAGUUGUUUUUAUUUAUCACAAAUCCAGAAUCAAGUGCUGUUAAUUUUACAGUCUCUCUAAUUAAUAUCAGUGGGAACGUUUCUACAUCUUCAACUAGGGUAAACGUUCCACCCAGUUUUGAGGUAUUUUCUGUUAAUGAAAGGAACAAGGGGAUCCUUGUUGAAGCUGACGGAAACAUCAAUUUGUAUGGGAUGUCUUUUCAUCAAUAUACUGCAGAUGCUUAUUUAGCGUUACCAUGUUCUAAAAUGGCAGUUGAUGAAUACGAAUAUUAUGGAAUCUCCUACGACACCAUUAGUAGUACUACCUAUUAUCCUAGUGUGAUUUUGUUGGUGGCUUGUGAAAAUGAAACUGUUGUAAAUUUCCUUUCCUCAACAAUAAUACUAAAUAGUAUGGAAACAUAUCAGAUUGAAAGUGAUCAUGAUCUCACAGGAACAAGAAUAACUAGCUCCAAAUCUUUGUCUGUGUUUAGUGGAUCUGAUUGCGCUUUUGUUCCUCAAGUUAUAAGGUGGUGUGACUACCUGGUUGAACAAGUGCCUCCGACUGUGACAUGGGGCUCAAAAUUUCUUGUGGCAUCUCUCGAGGGUAGAUCUUCUGGUGAACGUAUUCGUGUUCUUAGUGCCCGAGCAGCAAGUGUAACUGUGAACUGCAACACUGUUGUAUCAGUCAGUGAAUUCCAGUUACAGAGUGGAGGGAGCUUCAGAGAAUUUGAAAUCCCUAUUAACAGUUUCUGUAACAUUGAAUCUACUUCUCCAGUACUGGUCGCACAGUAUGCGUAUGGUAGGGAUAGUGAUGGUGUGGGAGACCCAUUCAUGAUGAUAAUCCCUCCAAUUGAGCAGUUUACAAAUAACUAUUUAGUUGAAGCGUUUUCUUUUUUCGUAUCCAACUAUGUCACAGUAUAUGUUUCUUCCGAGUGUUUUCAAACUGCACAAAUAAUGUUAGACAAUUCCAUUGUUACUGGUUGGAUGAAUGUUGUCUGUUCAAGUGGAGAGAUUUGUGGUCACGUAAGUAGAAUGAAUGUGUCUACUGGAGCUCAUUCUAUCCGCCAUCAAAACAGCUCAGCCGUUCUAGGUGUUUCAGUGUAUGGAUUCGACAUAUACAAUUCUUACGGUUACCCUGGAGGCCUGAGAUUAUCUCCCAUACAAUGCAACUGUGGUCAAAAUUCUAUUUGUUUGAAUUACAUGGGACAGUUCAACUGUAGUUGCUUGAAUGGAUUUGUGGCGUCGUUGUUUGGAACAGAUGAAAUUGUCUGUACCGGUCAGUUGAGUGUUUAAAUAGAAGGUCAUUGAUUUGUAGAAUGUUAUUAAUGCAUUAAGUGAUUUCUUUAUUUGCAUCUACCAUUCCUUGUACCUAUAGUUACCUGUGUCCUGCCUGCCCCUCCGCUUAAUGGAACAUUGCUCACCAGCAUUCAGAACACUAGCACAAUUGAGGGCUCAGUUAUUACCUUCCAAUGUGAUCCUGGUUUUUCACUGGUGGGUACAAAGAUUGCCACUUGUAACAACUCUGGUUUAUGGGAUCCUGACCCGGCUCUAUUGGAGUGUAAGUUCACAAAAAUAACUGGUGCACGGAAUGUUGCUGCUCUAUCUGGAGGUUUUGUUGCUCUAGUAGUGGUACUGAUCUUACUGGUCGCCAUAUUUCUCUUAGUAGCAAAUGCCAAAAAGAAAAAAACAAAUAGACAACUGUCAGGCAAUGGAGUUCCAAUAGCUCCAGCUGUUCCAGUAUACGAGGAAGUUGAUCUAACAAUGACACCAAGAACACAAGACAUUCAAGUGGAGUCUAAUGAAGCUUAUGCACAAGUGAGUAAAUAAAGUGAACAGAUAGAGAAUUGUGUACUGAUUAUCUUAUCGAUCCCAGACGGCAAAAUGAAAUAUUAAGUUGCAGUCAAAUCUGGCAUAUGGUGAAAUCAAAUACAUUAGUAGCUG
Halichondria panicea is the source of this 2898-nucleotide long non-coding RNA. RefSeq lists it as uncharacterized. The transcript has 4 exons. The record is from RefSeq and is a predicted model, not a curated record. NCBI's taxonomy places the organism in Eukaryota, Metazoa, Porifera, Demospongiae, Suberitida, Halichondriidae.